CGGGGGGGCAAGCGUUGUUCGGAAUUACUGGGCGUAAAGGGCUCGUAGGCGGCCAACUAAGUCAGACGUGAAAUCCCCAGGCUCAACCUGGGAACUGCGUCUGAUACUGGAUGGCUUGAAUCCGGGAGAGGGAUGCAGAAUUCCAGGUGUAGCGGUGAAAUGCGUAGAUAUCUGGAGGAAUACCGGUGGCGAAGGCGGCAUCCUGGACCGGCAUUGACGCUGAUGAGCGAAAGCCAGGGGAGCAAACGGGAUUAGAUACCCCGGUAGUCCUGGCCCUAAACGAUGAAUGCUUGGUGUGACGGGUAUCGAUCCCUGUCGUGCCGAAGCUAACGCAUUAAGCAUUCCGCCUGGGGAGUACGGUCGCAAGGCUG
This 371-nucleotide ribosomal RNA is filed under the name uncultured organism. RNAcentral describes it as "bacterial SSU rRNA". It matches the Rfam family "Bacterial small subunit ribosomal RNA", at positions 527 to 896 of the family's 1533-position model. The record is from RNAcentral.